RNAcentral lists this ribosomal RNA (497 nucleotides) under uncultured bacterium. Its description in RNAcentral is "partial 16S ribosomal RNA". It matches the Rfam family "Bacterial small subunit ribosomal RNA", at positions 28 to 507 of the family's 1533-position model. The record is from RNAcentral.
GAUGAACGCUGGCGGCGUGCCUAAUACAUGCAAGUCGAGCGAACAGACUAGGAACUUGUUCUCCUGACGAUAUCGACGGACGGGUGAGUAACACGUGGAUUAACUCCUUAUCAAACUGGGAUAACUUCGGGAAACCCGAGCUAAUACCGGAUAUAAUAUUUUAUCGAACUGAUCAAUAGUAAAAGAGGGUUUUGAAGUCACUUACAGAUGGAUAUGCGCCGCAUUAUGUAGUUGGUAAGGUAACGGCUUACCAAGACAACGAUGCGAAGCCGACCUGAGAGGGUGAUCGGCCACACUGGAACUGAGACACGGUCCAGACUCCUACGGGAGGCAGCAGUAGAGAAUCUUCCGCAAUGGGCGAAAGCUUGACGGAGCAACGCCGCGUGAGUGAUGAAGGUCUUCGGAUCGUAAAACUCUGUUAUUAGGGAAGAACAAAUGUGUAAGUAACUAUGCACGUCUUGACGGUACCUAAUCAGAAAGCCACGGCUAACUACGUG